RNAcentral lists this ribosomal RNA (253 nucleotides) under uncultured bacterium. Its description in RNAcentral is "partial 16S ribosomal RNA". It matches the Rfam family "Bacterial small subunit ribosomal RNA", at positions 524 to 776 of the family's 1533-position model. The record is from RNAcentral.
UACGUAAGGGGCAAGCGUUGUCCGGAAUCACUGGGCGUAAAGCGCGCGUAGGCGGACCUGCAAGUCGGGGGUGAAAGCCCGAGGCUCAACCUCGGAACUGCCUUCGAUACUGCGGGUCUCGAGUCCGGGAGAGGUGAGUGGAAUUCCUAGUGUAGAGGUGAAAUUCGUAGAUAUUAGGAAGAACACCAGUGGCGAAGGCGGCUCACUGGCCCGGUACUGACGCUGAGGCGCGAAAGCGUGGGGAGCAAACAGG